CCUACGGGUGGCAGCAGUGAGGAAUAUUGGUCAAUGGCCGGAAGGCUGAACCAGCCAAGCCGCGUGAGGGAGGAAGGCGCAGAGCGUCGCAGACCUCUUUUGCCGGGGGACAAAAGGCCGGACUCGUCCGGUCCUGAGGGUACCCGGCGAAAAAGCAUCGGCUAACUCCGUGCCAGCAGCCGCGGUAAUACGGAGGAUGCGAGCGUUAUCCGGAUUCAUUGGGUUUAAAGGGUGCGCAGGCGGGCCUUUAAGCCGGCGGUGAAAUCGCGGGGCUCAACCCCGUCGAGCCGUCGAAACUGGGGGUCUUGAGUGCGCGGGAGGUAUGCGGAAUGCGCGGUGUAGCGGUGAAAUGCAUAGAUAUCGCGCAGAACCCCGAUGGCGAAGGCAGCGUGCCGGGGCGCAACUGACGCUGAGGCACGAAAGCGCGGGGAUCGAACAGGAUUAGAUACCCUUGUAGUC
This 459-nucleotide ribosomal RNA is filed under the name uncultured bacterium. Its description in RNAcentral is "partial 16S ribosomal RNA". It matches the Rfam family "Bacterial small subunit ribosomal RNA", at positions 338 to 795 of the family's 1533-position model. The record is from RNAcentral.